RNAcentral lists this ribosomal RNA (496 nucleotides) under uncultured bacterium. Its description in RNAcentral is "partial 16S ribosomal RNA". It matches the Rfam family "Bacterial small subunit ribosomal RNA", at positions 28 to 507 of the family's 1533-position model. The record is from RNAcentral.
GAUGAACGCUGGCGGCGUGCCUAAUACAUGCAAGUCGAGCGAACAGACGAGGAGCUUGCUCCUCUGACGUUAGCGGCGGACGGGUGAGUAACACGUGGAUAACCUACCUAUAAGACUGGGAUAACUUCGGGAAACCGGAGCUAAUACCGGAUAAUAUAUUGAACCGCAUGGUUCAAUAGUGAAAGACGGUUUUGCUGUCACUUAUAGAUGGAUCCGCGCCGCAUUAGCUAGUUGGUAAGGAACGGCUUACCAAGGCAACGAUGCGUAGCCGACCUGAGAGGGUGAUCGGCCACACUGGAACUGAGACACGGUCCAGACUCCUACGGGAGGCAGCAGUAGGGAAUCUUCCGCAAUGGGCGAAAGCCUGACGGAGCAACGCCGCGUGAGUGAUGAAGGUCUUCGGAUCGUAAAACUCUGUUAUUAGGGAAGAACAAAUGUGUAAGUAACUAUGCACGUCUUGACGGUACCUAAUCAGAAAGCCACGGCUAACUACGUG